AUGAUGAAAAGAAUUACCAAGAUGUCCUUGAUCCAACUGAGUAAAGACCUAGGAGAGUUCCUGCGUGAUAAAGAGCAGCAGCUGGAGUGUUUUUCGGAGGGAGGAGGAUGGAGGAGCAGAAAAAAAGAGAGGAGAGGAGACAACAGCAGGAAGAGGAGGAGAAGGUCAGAGGUCAAACUACUAUGCACCCUCGUUUUUUUUGUCCUCAACGACUCAUUCCAACUCCCCCACACCCUGUUUACCUCUCUCUCGCUCUCUCUCCGAUUUGGGUUGAGUAUGGUCUGCCUGUUGGGUUAGAUUAGAUGUGCUUUAAUGGUGAACAUCUCAACUGAUGAUUUGAAAUUGAUUGGGAGACAGCCCAUCAUUGCAGACAGACUCUCCCGUUUAUGUUAAUAGAUUAAUGAUUGGGCGGUCUCUGUGGCUGCACCAUGAUGUCAUCGUUGACGUAUCAUGUGUCAUUUCCUGGAAUCAGACAAUACAUGAUAUAUAUCUGUCACACGCACAUGGAUAUGAAUAUUUGAUUAUGUGUAGGACCAGAUAGAGUUUCCAUAUGAUACAAUAGGAUGUGAUAGGAUAUGAGGCCAGUGGUAGCCUAUAGAAUUGAUGUUGGUUGAUUACUGCAUAAUUACCAAUUAGAUAUGCAAACAAUAUGAGUUAAUGUAUUGAUAAAAAAACACUGUUGGUUAUUUAGGCGUGUGUGUGUUCUGCUGUAGAACUCUGUCUCUGGUUAUUUAGGUGUGUGUGUGUGUUCUGCUGUAGAACUCUGUCUCUGGUUAUUUAGGUGUGUGUGUGUGUUCUGCUGUAGAACUCUGUCUCUGGCUAUUUAGGUGUGUGUGUGUUUUGCUGUAGAACUCUGUCUCUGGUUAUUUAGGUGUGUGUGUGUGUUCUGCUGUAGAACUCUGUCUCUGGUUAUUUAGGUGUGUGUGUGUGUUCUGCUGUAGAACUCUGUCUCUGGUUAUUUAGGUGUGUGUGUGUUUUGCUGUAGAACUCUGUCUCUGGUUAUUUAGGUGUGUGUGUGUUUUGCUGUAGAACUCUGUCUCUGGUUAUUUAGGUGUGUGUGUGUUCUGCUGUAGAACUCUGUCUCUGGUUAUUUAGGUGUGUGUGUGUUUUGCUGUAGAACUCUGUCUCUGGUUAUUUAGGUGUGUGUGUGUUCUGCUGUAGAACUCUGUGGAGGUUCUAUUUUAGUCCUGGCACCGG
Molecule: long non-coding RNA, 1197 nt
Filed under: Oncorhynchus kisutch (coho salmon)
Lineage: Eukaryota; Metazoa; Chordata; Actinopteri; Salmoniformes; Salmonidae
Description: lncRNA (ENSOKIG00005050463.1)
Source: RNAcentral